Molecule: long non-coding RNA, 1521 nt
Organism: Mercenaria mercenaria
Lineage: Eukaryota; Metazoa; Mollusca; Bivalvia; Venerida; Veneridae
Exons: 3
Source: RefSeq, a predicted model, not a curated record
GUUGGCUGCUUAAUAGAGAUGACUGCUAAAGCAGGUUUUACUGUAAAAAAUUUAUUGUAAUGCAACUUGUGUUAUAAACUCACCUUGCAGAUAGAUUUAUUUUGAACUAAUCUUUAAAAAUUUAUUGAAAUAUCAUGACUUUUUCUCCUAGAAUAACACCAAAAAGAACAGCACUAACAGUAGUUACAAAUAUAAUAUUACAAUUCUUCACACCAAAAUUCAUUAAAAGUUACCUGGCCAGGGGAUUCUUAAUUAAUCAAGUAAUAAAUUAUUUGGUUCUUUUAAUCUUCUGUAGUGUACCUGUUGCUUGUCUCACAACAGGAGAUUAUCCCAGACUGCAUGAUAAGAUCUUGUCUGCUUUAUAUUUAGAAACUCAUAACAAGAGAUCAACCAAUGAAAAUAAAGUCUGUGAACUACUUCUGGGGGCUGUAAAUGUACCUCAAAAAGUAAUCCUUAACUUUUUUCUGUUUAAUAUCAGGGUAAACUUCAAAAAUAAUGAGUAUGUAAAUGGAAUAAAAUCAACCUGUGGUACAAAAAUAUUUUUAACAUCCUAGAUAUAUCCUCCAAUAGCUGAUUGUAAAUGACACAUUUGCCCAAGAAUAUCAAAAUUUCAAAUCUACACAGGAAGUUCUUUGUUUGAGAACAGGAUGGAGUUAUUUUACUGUGUUUACAUGCAGCUUGGAAGUUAACAAUAACUAAAAGAACACACCAGGAGUAUAUAAACAACAUACAUGAAUGAAUGAAUGGAGAUAAUUCAGUUUAGUGACCCAAUGUAUUGUGUUCAAAGGAGACUCCAUCCAACAAUUCAAAGACAUGUUAAUGCAGUGUGGCAACUGAUGGCAAAUGAUGGCUUUGUGGCAGUUAAUGAAAACUGCAUGGUAUUUUAAACUGAUGGUGGCCAACAGUGACGGAAAAUUUCUCAACUAAUAGUUACAUUCAGUUGAAAAUGUUGGCAUAUCUUAUACCGACUAUACUGCAUUAUGACUAACAGUGGAAAACAUUGAUAUGCUACAAUAACAGUGGAACUGAAUAGAAACUGGUGACAUUUUAGCUCCAUAUUGUUUGUACUAUUUUCUGUCACCUAGUGAAGAAAUGUCAAAAUUAAUAAGCAGUUUUGUUAUACUACAGACUAUAAUGAAAUUAUAAAUUAAGAUGUGACAUAUAUGAUGGUUUCCGAUUUUCAUUUCAGUCCAGUUCUGUCACCAACAGGUUUCCAUGGUAUUUCCGCGGAUUUCCACAGUUAUUUGCUACGGCAUGCCGUCCGAAUACUCCACGGAUUGCCAUGGAAUUUUGCUGGUUUCCACGGACAUCUGUGGUGUACCACGGAAAGCUGUGGAUUUCCAUGGAAAGCCAUGGAUUUCCACGGAACUCUGUGGCAUUCCAUUGAAAUCCAUGGAACUCCACGGAUUUUUCCCCCGUAUUUUUGUUUCAUAAAAUAAUGAUGUAAAUUGGUAGUCCGAAUACUCCAUGGAAUAUUUUCCAUGGAUUUCCAUAGAAUUCCAUGGCAAAUCUAGAGACGGG